Molecule: long non-coding RNA, 4226 nt
Organism: Prionailurus viverrinus (fishing cat)
Lineage: Eukaryota; Metazoa; Chordata; Mammalia; Carnivora; Felidae
Exons: 3
Source: RefSeq, a predicted model, not a curated record
ACCUGCUGUGUGCUGGGGGCUUCCUCAUUCGCUGUAGCCUCUCCUCUUCCCUACCCUAGCUCUCACCAUCCCAACCCCCGUGGGGUGGAUUUUGUGCUGGAAAGAGAAGGGACUCUCAGCCAGAUCCAACCAUUUCCGCGCUGUGCUGGGAGUAGUAGAUUAAUAAGGCUCAGCAGAAUGUUUGGCACGUAGUAGGCAUUCAAUAAAUGUUACUACAUUUUCCCGCCCCACCCCAAGAUAGCUGGAGGAAUUCUCUCCAUUCCAGCCAUGGCUGUUGGCUCUGGGCUUCAGAAGUGAAUGAAGAGAGAAGAGACCAAGAACCGAGUUGAGGAAGGGGAAGGGAAAAGGAAACCCCACCCAGGCUGUGUGGCAAGGCCAGAGGUGUCUCGGCCGCUCUGGUAAGCAUUUGGGGAAAAGGCAGUUGCCUUCAUCCUCAUCAACUGGGGGAGGCGUCAGGCCUCAGCCCAGAGCCCCAAAGCUGCAGCCAGGGGUCACAGGUGGCUUUGGGGAAGCCGUGUCCCAGGACAAGGCAGAGCCGUCUGGAGCUCUGGGCCUGGAGGAAACGCUGGGCACCCAGGGCCCAGAGCUGAAUGGGCCCUUUCUCUUUCUGUAACAAACACAGGCCUUGUUCGUAGGUUGGUGUGUUUGUUUCCUCGGGCGGUUUCUGUUCUCCUUCUCCCCCCUCCGGGCUCAGCCUCGGGCAGGCGCCUCCAAGAGCUCUGGCUUCGAGAAUUUCUACAGCAUUGCUCAUACCCUUUCUGCUUGGAGAGCACCCGGGGGGGGGUCCAAGAGGAAGCGAGAGGUCUUCACCCUUUGCAAAUUUAUUUGGGAAGACGAAACCUGUCCAAGGAGCAAGGACUGUUUUGGGGGGAAUCUCUCACGGAGGCCCGGGUACCGUCCUGGGGGUUUGGCAUGGAUUCCCAGGCUAGCAGGCCAGAAGGACACAAUUAGCCACACGACAGACUAUGUCACCACCCUGCUUAAAACCCUUCAGGGCCCCGUUUUAUUUGCUCGAAAGAGGAGAUCGAGGCUCAGUGCCCAGCGCCUUUGUAGCUACGGUGGCCGAAUUUGAACCCAGACCCAUCUCCCUCUUUCUGCCCCCAGCCUCGGGUUGGGUCCCAGACUCAGUUUCUGCGCCAUCCGGCUCAGUGCCCAGCUCCCCAACUCCUUUAUUCAGUCCCACUUAGACACAGGCACAAACUCGCCCCAGCUCUCCGGGACUUGGCUUCUUUCCUCCGUAAAGCCGAGGUUACCACACCGAUACCUACCUCAGCGUGUGCGGUCAAGACGAAAUGACUUCCUUCUGGGGAAGCACUUAGACCACGCUUGGGCAAUAGAUUCCAGCUGUCCAUGGUCCCUCAUCCUCAGAGGAAAGCCUCUGGGAGCCGCUGUUGUUAUUUCCGCUUUUCAGAUGGGGCCGACCCACUAGGUCGCCGGCCGGAAGGUACCCUUCUGCUAGAAAUUAAAGUCGGUGUAGGAAUUAGCUCCUUUUUGCAGGUGCACCCCACUGGGGCCCAGCCUGGAUGGAGAUUGCGCAAGGAGGUGGGGGUGAAAGCCACUUCCUGACACCCAGAUGUGCAGAGGACCGGAAGGCAGAGGAGUGCUGGGCAGGGGGCGUUUCAAAGGAAGAGCGAAUAUACACGCUUGGCUUGUGGACCUUGAAGACGUUUGCCGGAGCCCCGAUGUCAGCACCUGUCGCUGAGCGUAACUUAGACGCCACAGAUCAUGCUGAAGGGCCAGCCUCACCGACGCCUACCGGCUUUUUCCCCAGCCUCCCGUCCCUCCUCUGCUGGGCUGUGCAAAGCAAAAGGCCUCCAGAUAAAGGCAGAUCUGCCAAGGUCAAGGCCCCUCCUGUCCUUGACCGUACCCAUGUCCUGGGCGCUCACCCAGACCCAGAAAGAAACACGGUGGCAGGAUUGCUCCAGGCAUUCUCUAAAUGCAAUGAUCUCCCUCUGGGCGAGAGGAGGCACCCAAGAAGAGAAGAACCACAUGACAGGGACUAGACAGGUCAGCAUAAAGCGCCCCAAGGACAAUCCUGGGACCUCCACUUGUGUCCUGGGGGUUCACUGAGCCUUGGUGACCUCGAUGUCCUCUUUCAGGAAAAGAGGGCCCUGGGAUCCCAGCCUCAUGUUGCCGUGUUUCCCCCUAGACCACAAAUGUCUCAGAGCUGAGACUGUGCCUCCAUCACCUGUGCACCCCCAGGGCCCGGGCCAUCUAGGUCCCCGCAUCUCAGAGCUGGCAUCUACUGACGUGGCAGAGAACACAGUGUGGCCAAGCACUCUGUGCGGAUCUCCUGUUUUAUGCUCCCUGGCUUCGUCACCUCCACUUUGCCCGUGAGAAAGUUGAGGCUUGCGGAGUGCAGUCAGCUUGCUCUAGCCACGGAGUAAGUGGGAGAGCCACAACUCACAGCCAGACGGACGGAUUCUAGAACCUGCCGGCUCACCCGCCAGGCUGCAGCGAGGCCAUGUAGGCUGAGCAACGGCGGCGCCUAGCACUGACUGGGACACUCAGCUAGGCUGUUGAGAGAGUGAAUAUGCAAGGAAGCUAACCUAACGGCUGGAAUCCAGUAGGAGCUCACUCGGUCCAACUGCUUGAGGUAAAGUCAGGCCUAACCCAAUAUGCCGAGAUACGCAAUAAAAGCAUCAAGCUCAAGGGUCCUGGAUUAGCCCCGGAGGCACAACGAAUCCAAUCCAAUAACGUCUUCCCCGCUGAGAAAUUGGCCGUUCACCUCACUUACCGGUGUUCUGUCUGAUCCUGGGGUCCCGCUGUCGGUGCAGCUGGGAAGUGAAGGUCGAAACCUGGCUACGUUCACCGGUUUCCAACGGGUUGUUCUCCAGUUACGCGUUGGUUCGUCCAGGUUCCGUCUUGGGGGUUCCCCUCGGGGUGCGGGCCCGAGCACGGGUCUGGGAACCCUUUGGGCACAGCCGGCCGGGUUGCCCUGCCCCUGGGGAGCUCUGACCCCAGAAGCAGCCACAUUUUCUGGAGGGGGCUGUUGCCUGGAGGGAGGAGUAAGGACACCUUCUCCCACCCGCGGAGGACGUACAGUCUACAGGGGGAGAAAAAACGAACCGACUGUCACCAUCUCACAGACCAGGAGACAGAGCCAGGGCAGCGAUUGGCCGGAGUUCCCACAGCAGGUGAGGAAAGAAACUCAGACUCCACCCCAGCAAGGGAAAGGAAGGGAAGGGAAGACUCCCUUCCACACCCCCAAGCAAGCGCGUGAUGCACUUUAGCAGAAGUGCCCGCCUUGUGCCAAUAGUCAACAGGCUCUCGUUGGAAGUUCCAACUCGUUCUCGAGGCUUCAAGAGGGCAGGACGAGUCCCGUAUUGGAGUUUUUAGGGGACACGCCAAGACCCCAGAUGGAAAAGACUCUGCGUUGAGGGUGUUCCUAUUUCCCUGAGGAACACUUACAUUUCAGGGACAAAACUAUAUCUCUGAAUCGAAAGUACUUCAAGACAGCAUCUUGGCUGGAAUGGUAUUAUUCUGGUAGGUUCCCCUCCAUGAUUCCUUCAUAAAGUCCCAUGGAUGAAAAUCUGAGAGGAACCCAGUGUUUGUGUAAGACUGAUCUUGUCCUUGUCCCUCUGACGUAAUGAGACUUAUAUUAGGAAACGGGGGGUGGGGAAUGAAAACGUAUUCUUUAUUUUUCACCUCCUUGUCUUUGUUUGAAUGUUUGCGUGAAAAUCGGCAAGAGAAACCAAAAGGAAGGAGAAAUGAAAAAAUUCCUAUUGCCGGGAAAUGAAUACAUCCGAGAGGGAAAUACAGGUUGGUGCCCUCCGAAGCCUGCCCAUUAGAUAACGUCCAUCAGAGAUCAGACAGUUCAACACUCCGUGUUCACUGUCCAGUACUCGUCCUAAUGAUAAGGUAGGGCAUCCCGUCCCUUCCAGAUCCGGGGUUCUAGAAUCACACACGAGUUGUGUUUGGGUUUUUGGUGUUUUCCCCUCCCUCCUGAGAAGGGUCUUAGAGAUUGCGGCACAGAAUUUAAAAUCACACACACCCGGAUUCCAAUCCUGACUCUGCUCCUCGGUGACAACGAGACUUUUGGAAAUUUGUGUCAUCCUUCUGCAUCGUGGACUCUCCCUUUUGAAAGGAGAAGGGGUAGUCACUCUCCUCCUCGGGGUCACCGUGACGAUGAAAUGAGUUGACACAUGAAAUGCCUGAUUGGCUCAUGGUGUGUGCUAAGAAAAGUUAGUUCCUUCCUUCUCUUUUAAAAACCUUCCCUGGGGGGC